UUCACCCUUCUCUACAAACGCCUGUAAUNGAGUAUGUAGUCGAAGCUCUACGGAGCGAAAUGGCGAGUACAACUUUCAACAACGGAUCUCUUGGCUUUCGCAUCGAUGAAGNACGCCGCGAAAGCGCGAAACGUAAUGUGAAUUGCAGAAUUCAGUGAAUCAUCGAAUCUUUGAACGCACCUUGCGCUCCUCGGUAUUCCGAGGAGCAUGCCUGUUUGAGUGUCGUGAAAUACAUCGACCCCUCGGGGCCUUUUGGCCUGCCGUCUGGGUCGGAUUUGGACGCCUGCCGGUCUCUACCUGACUGGCUCGUCUUGAAAUGCAUUAGCUGGCCAUUGCCCUCACCUUCGGGUCCCCGCGGACAGGCGUGAUAAAGUGGAAACGCUCGCUCGCGUCGGUGGGUUGACCGAGUGGGGGGAAAAAAUGAAGCUGGCUCAGAGUCUGGGAUGAAUGGUCCCCUUCUGUGGUCUGACCUCAAAUCAGGUAGGACUACCCGCUGAACUUAAGCAUAUCAAUAAGCGGAGGAAAAGAAACUAACGAGGAUUCCCCUAGUAACGGCGAGUGAAGCGGGAAGAGCUCAAAUUUGUAAUCUGGCGGUCUCGGGCCGUCCGAGUGU
This 613-nucleotide ribosomal RNA is filed under the name Hysterangium sp. TH8517. RNAcentral describes it as "eukaryotic LSU rRNA". The stretch from base 71 to 225 matches the Rfam family "5.8S ribosomal RNA". The record is from RNAcentral. Lineage: Eukaryota; Fungi; Basidiomycota; Agaricomycetes; Hysterangiales; Hysterangiaceae.